RNAcentral lists this microRNA precursor (202 nucleotides) under Oryza punctata. RNAcentral describes it as "MIR1435 microRNA precursor family". It matches the Rfam family "MIR1435 microRNA precursor family". The record is from Rfam by way of RNAcentral. Lineage: Eukaryota; Viridiplantae; Streptophyta; Magnoliopsida; Poales; Poaceae.
UGACUUUUUUCUAAGUCAAACCUUUUUAAGUUUGACCAAACUUAUAGAAAAAUAUAUCAAUAUUUUCCACGCCAAAACAAAGAAACUAUCAAAAUAUGUUCAAUGUUAGAUGUAAUGAAACUAAUUUUGUGUUAUAAGUGUUGCUAUAUUUUUGUAUAAACUUGAUCAAACUUUCAAGAAGUUUGACUUAAAAGAAAAGUCA